Molecule: ribosomal RNA, 482 nt
Filed under: uncultured bacterium
Lineage: Bacteria
Description: partial 16S ribosomal RNA
Rfam family: Bacterial small subunit ribosomal RNA
Source: RNAcentral
AUUGAACGCUGGCGGCAUGCUUUACACAUGCAAGUCGAACGGUAACAGGCCGCAAGGUGCUGACGAGUGGCGAACGGGUGAGUAAUGCAUCGGAACGUGCCCAGUCGUGGGGGAUAACUACUCGAAAGAGUAGCUAAUACCGCAUACGAUCUAUGGAUGAAAGCGGGGGACCGUAAGGCCUCGCGCGAUUGGAGCGGCCGAUGUCAGAUUAGGUAGUUGGUGGGGUAAAGGCUCACCAAGCCAACGAUCUGUAGCUGGUCUGAGAGGACGACCAGCCACACUGGGACUGAGACACGGCCCAGACUCCUACGGGAGUCAGCAGUGGGGAAUUUUGGACAAUGGGCGCAAGCCUGAUCCAGCAAUGCCGCGUGCAGGAAGAAGGCCUUCGGGUUGUAAACUGCUUUUGUACGGAACGAAACGGCUCUGGUUAAUACCCGGGGCUAAUGACGGUACCGUAAGAAUAAGCACCGGCUAACUACGUG